Molecule: ribosomal RNA, 403 nt
Filed under: uncultured bacterium
Lineage: Bacteria
Description: partial 16S ribosomal RNA
Rfam family: Bacterial small subunit ribosomal RNA
Source: RNAcentral
GACGAACGCUGGCGGCGUGCCUAAUACAUGCAAGUCGAACGCAGUGGGGACGGGUGAGUAACACGUGGGUAACCUCGCAUCAGAGGGGAUAAAAGUUGGAAACAGGUGCUAAACCGAUACUGAUGGAUGAACUCGCGGGGCAUUAGCUAGUUGGUGAGGUAACGGCUCACCAAGGCCACGAUGCAUAGCCGACCUGAGAGGAUGAUCGGCCACACUGGAACUGAGACACGGCCCAGACUCCUACGGGAGGCAGCAGUAGGGAAUCUUCCGCAAUGGGCGAAAGUCUGACGGAGCAACGCCGCGUGAGUGAAGAAGGUUUUCGGAUCGUAAAACUCUUUUGUUAGAGAAGCGGUAUCUAACCAGAAAGCCACGGCUAACUACGUGCCAGCAGCCGCGGUAAUAC